GAGGGUAUAGCUCAAGUGGUAGAGCACAUGCUUAGCAUGCAAAAGGUCCUGGGUUCAAUCCCCAGUACCUCCU
This 73-nucleotide transfer RNA is filed under the name Camelus bactrianus (Bactrian camel). It matches the Rfam family "tRNA". From Rfam's summary of the family: Transfer RNA (tRNA) molecules are approximately 80 nucleotides in length. Their secondary structure includes four short double-helical elements and three loops (D, anti-codon, and T loops). The record is from Rfam by way of RNAcentral. RNAcentral also lists the same sequence under 3 other names. Lineage: Eukaryota; Metazoa; Chordata; Mammalia; Artiodactyla; Camelidae.